UAGAGUUUGAUCAUGGCUCAGAUUGAACGCUGGCGGCAGGCCUAACACAUGCAAGUCGAGCGGAAACGAUGGAAGCUUGCUUCCAGGCGUCGAGCGGCGGACGGGUGAGUAAUGCAUGGGAAUCUGCCCGAUAGUGGGGGAUAACCUGGGGAAACCCAGGCUAAUACCGCAUACGUCCUACGGGAGAAAGCAGGGGAUCUUCGGACCUUGCGCUAUCGGAUGAGCCCAUGUCGGAUUAGCUUGUUGGUGAGGUAAUGGCUCACCAAGGCGACGAUCCGUAGCUGGUCUGAGAGGAUGAUCAGCCACAUCGGGACUGAGACACGGCCCGAACUCCUACGGGAGGCAGCAGUGGGGAAUAUUGGACAAUGGGCGAAAGCCUGAUCCAGCCAUGCCGCGUGUGUGAAGAAGGCCCUCGGGUUGUAAAGCACUUUCCAG
Molecule: ribosomal RNA, 435 nt
Filed under: Halomonas sp. M17-C24
Lineage: Bacteria; Pseudomonadati; Pseudomonadota; Gammaproteobacteria; Oceanospirillales; Halomonadaceae
Description: bacterial SSU rRNA
Rfam family: Bacterial small subunit ribosomal RNA
Source: RNAcentral